CACGUAGGGUGCGAGCGUUGUCCGGAAUUAUUGGGCGUAAAGAGCUUGUAGGCGGUUUGUCGCGUCUGCUGUGAAAAUCCGGGGCUCAACCCCGGACUUGCAGUGGGUACGGGCAGACUAGAGUGUGGUAGGGGAGACUGGAAUUCCUGGUGUAGCGGUGAAAUGCGCAGAUAUCAGGAGGAACACCGAUGGCGAAGGCAGGUCUCUGGGCCACUACUGACGCUGAGAAGCGAAAGCGUGGGGAGCGAACAGG
This 253-nucleotide ribosomal RNA is filed under the name uncultured bacterium. RNAcentral's name for it is "partial 16S ribosomal RNA". It matches the Rfam family "Bacterial small subunit ribosomal RNA", at positions 524 to 776 of the family's 1533-position model. The record is from RNAcentral.